This 383-nucleotide ribosomal RNA is filed under the name Xerotyphlops syriacus. Its description in RNAcentral is "partial 12S ribosomal RNA". It matches the Rfam family "Bacterial small subunit ribosomal RNA", at positions 854 to 1401 of the family's 1533-position model. The record is from RNAcentral. Lineage: Eukaryota; Metazoa; Chordata; Lepidosauria; Squamata; Typhlopidae.
AAUGAACUCCACCAGCCCGCCAGAUUAUUACAAGCGAAAGCUUAAAACUCAAAGGACUUGACGGUGUCCCAUAUUCAGCCUAGAGGAGCCUGUCCCAUAAUCGAUGACCCACGAUAUACCUCACCAUUUUUUGCCAAACAGCCUAUAUACCGCCGUCACAAGUUCACCUUUUGAAGGUAAAAAAGUGAACAAAAUAGCCCAAUGCUAGUAUGUCAGGUCAAGGUGUAGCUAAUAAACUGGUCUGAGAUGGGCUACAUUUCCUUAGUAAAGGAAAUACGAAUGGUCUUAUGAAACCUCACCAGAAGGAGGAUUUAGUAGUAAAGCGGGAUUAGCAAGCCUGCUUGAAUACACUGCCCUGGGACGCGUACACACCGCCCGUCACC